Molecule: transfer RNA, 74 nt
Filed under: Candidatus Omnitrophota bacterium
Lineage: Bacteria; Pseudomonadati; Candidatus Omnitrophota
Also listed under: 1 other name
Description: tRNA-Thr
Rfam family: tRNA
About the family: Transfer RNA (tRNA) molecules are approximately 80 nucleotides in length. Their secondary structure includes four short double-helical elements and three loops (D, anti-codon, and T loops).
Source: RNAcentral
GCCCGCGUAGCUUUAGUUGGUAGAGCAGGGCAUUCGUAAUGCUCAGGUCGGGGGUUCGAAUCCUCUCGCGGGCU